This 883-nucleotide ribosomal RNA is filed under the name uncultured bacterium. RNAcentral's name for it is "bacterial SSU rRNA". It matches the Rfam family "Bacterial small subunit ribosomal RNA", at positions 545 to 1429 of the family's 1533-position model. The record is from RNAcentral.
UNGGAAUUACUGGGCGUAAAGCGGGCGCAGACGGUUACUUAAGCAGGAUGUGAANUCCCCGGGCUCAACCUGGGAACUGCGUUCUGAACUGGGUGACUAGAGUGUGUCAGAGGGAGGUAGAAUUNCACGUGUAGCAGUGAAAUGCGUAGAGAUGUGGAGGAAUACCGAUGGCGAAGGCAGCCUCCUGGGAUAACACUGACGUUCAUGCCCGAAAGCGUGGGUAGCAAACAGGAUUAGAUACCCUGGUAGUCCACGCCCUAAACGAUGUCGAUUAGCUGUUGGGCAGCAUGACUGCUUAGUAGCGAAGCUAACGCGUGAAAUCGACCGCCUGGGGAGUACGGUCGCAAGAUUAAAACUCAAAGGAAUUGACGGGGACCCGCACAAGCGGUGGAUGAUGUGGAUUAAUUCGAUGCAACGCGAAGAACCUUACCUGGUCUUGACAUGUACGGAACCCUCCAGAGACGGAGGGGUGCCUUCGGGAGCCGUAACACAGGUGCUGCAUGGCUGUCGUCAGCUCGUGUCGUGAGAUGUUGGGUUAAGUCCCGCAACGAGCGCAACCCUUGUCAUUAGUUGCCAUCAUUAAGUUGGGCACUCUAAUGAGACUGCCGGUGACAAGCCGGAGGAAGGUGGGGAUGACGUCAAGUCCUCAUGGCCCUUAUGACCAGGGCUUCACACGUCAUACAAUGGUCGGUACAGAGGGUAGCCAAGCCGCGAGGUGGAGCCAAUCUCACAAAACCGAUCGUAGUCCGGAUUGCACUCUGCAACUCGAGUGCAUGAAGUCGGAAUCGCUAGUAAUCGCAGGUCAGCAUACUGCGGUGAAUACGUUCCCGGGUCUUGUACACACCGCCCGUCACACCAUGGGAGUGGGGGAUACCAGAAGUAG